AAUCAACGCUGGCGGCGUGCCUCAGACAUGCAAGUCGAACCGAGAACCGUCCCUUCGGGGAGGAGACAGUGGCGCACGGGUGAGUAACACGUGGGUAAUUUACCUUUGGGUGGGAACGAACAGCCGGAAACGGCUGCUAAUACCGCAUAAUGCAGCGGCUCGACAUCGAGACAGUUGUUAAAGCGGGGAUCGCAAGACCUCGCGCCUGAAGAGAAGCCUGCGGCGGAUUAGCUAGUUGGUAGGGUAAUGGCCUACCAAGGCGACGAUCUGUAACCGGCCUGAGAGGGCGGUCGGUCACACUGACACUGACAUACGGGUCAGACUCCUACGGAGGCAGCAGUCGGGAAUUUUGGGCAAUGGCGAAAGCCUGACCCAGCAACGCCGCGUG
This 388-nucleotide ribosomal RNA is filed under the name uncultured bacterium. RNAcentral describes it as "bacterial SSU rRNA". It matches the Rfam family "Bacterial small subunit ribosomal RNA", at positions 32 to 403 of the family's 1533-position model. The record is from RNAcentral.